This 467-nucleotide unclassified non-coding RNA is filed under the name Lessingia lemmonii var. lemmonii. RNAcentral describes it as "partial external transcribed spacer". The record is from RNAcentral. Lineage: Eukaryota; Viridiplantae; Streptophyta; Magnoliopsida; Asterales; Asteraceae.
CCUUCGGACCAWAAUUGUUGUAUGGCUUGUGUGGGCGASGGGCACAACGUGAAUCCGUAAUAGGCCAUGGCGGGUGUCUUUUUAAGCAUCCAAGCCAUACAACAAUUUGGGGUUGGGAGGUGAUGGAUAUAAAUCGAUGUAUGUUUAUUGUCGGAUGAUAUGGUUGCGCGAUUUACACCAAACAUACAUCGAUUUAUAUCCAUCAUGGCGCUUAUCGAUGUAUGGCUUGUGUGGGGCGAGAAACACAACGUGGAACCGUAAAACGAUCUGCAAGGGUUUCCCAAACCACACAAGCCAUACAUCGGUUGUAAGUCGCAAAACAACCACAAUUGUUGUAUUGCUUGGAUGUGUGCGAGAGGCACAACGUGAAUCCGUAAUAGGCCAUGGCGGGUGUCUUUUUAAGCGUCCAAGCCAUACAACAAUUGGGGGGGAUUAUUCUAGCGGGUUUCGUUCUCUUCGUAUCGUGC